Molecule: non-coding RNA, 24 nt
Filed under: Cricetulus griseus (Chinese hamster)
Lineage: Eukaryota; Metazoa; Chordata; Mammalia; Rodentia; Cricetidae
Source: RNAcentral
UGAACAUACAGAAGUACAGAAAAU